RNAcentral lists this transfer RNA (71 nucleotides) under Ovis aries (sheep). It matches the Rfam family "tRNA". From Rfam's summary of the family: Transfer RNA (tRNA) molecules are approximately 80 nucleotides in length. Their secondary structure includes four short double-helical elements and three loops (D, anti-codon, and T loops). The record is from Rfam by way of RNAcentral. Lineage: Eukaryota; Metazoa; Chordata; Mammalia; Artiodactyla; Bovidae.
UCCCUGUGAUUCAGAUGGUAAAAAAUCUGCCUGCAAUGCAGAAGAACCAGGUUCAAUCCUUGGAUGGGGAG